UCCUGUGUGGCUCAGCUGGUAAAGAAUCUGCCUGCAAAGCAGGAGACCUGGGUUCGAUCCCUGGGUUGGGAA
This is a non-coding RNA of Bos taurus (domestic cattle), 72 nucleotides long. NCBI's taxonomy places the organism in Eukaryota, Metazoa, Chordata, Mammalia, Artiodactyla, Bovidae. The record is from Rfam.